This 291-nucleotide ribosomal RNA is filed under the name Escherichia coli. Its description in RNAcentral is "partial 23S ribosomal RNA". It matches the Rfam family "Bacterial large subunit ribosomal RNA", at positions 1 to 283 of the family's 2925-position model. Lineage: Bacteria; Pseudomonadati; Pseudomonadota; Gammaproteobacteria; Enterobacterales; Enterobacteriaceae. The record is from RNAcentral.
GGGUUGUGAGGUUAAGCGACUAAGCGUACACGGUGGAUGCCCUGGCAGUCAGAGGCGAUGAAGGACGUGCUAAUCUGCGAUAAGCGUCGGUAAGGUGAUAUGAACCGUUAUAACCGGCGAUUUCCGAAUGGGGAAACCCAGUGUGAUUCGUCACACUAUCAUUAACUGAAUCCAUAGGUUAAUGAGGCGAACCGGGGGAACUGAAACAUCUAAGUACCCCGAGGAAAAGAAAUCAACCGAGAUUCCCCCAGUAGCGGCGAGCGAACGGGGAGGAGCCCAGAGCCUGAAUCA